Molecule: non-coding RNA, 315 nt
Organism: Pelobates cultripes (western spadefoot toad)
Lineage: Eukaryota; Metazoa; Chordata; Amphibia; Anura; Pelobatidae
Source: the annotation of a GenBank genome assembly
CCUCCUUGUAAAUCUCAAAUUUGAUGAUGGACCACAGGUUCUCAAUGGGGUUCAGAUCAGGUGAACAAGGAGGCCAUGUCAUUAGAUUUUCUUCUUUUAUACCCUUUCUUGCCAGCCACGCUGUGGAGUACUUGGACGCGUGUGAUGGAGCAUUGUCCUGCAUGAAAAUCAUGUUUUCUUGAAGGAUGCAGACUUCUUCCUGUACCACUGCUUGAAGAAGGUGUCUUCCAGGAACUGGCAGUAGGACUGGGAGUUGAGCUUGACUCCAUCCUCAACCCGAAAAGGCCCCACAAGCUCAUCUUUGAUGAUACCAGC